This is a long non-coding RNA of Nycticebus coucang (slow loris), 860 nucleotides long. RefSeq lists it as uncharacterized. NCBI's taxonomy places the organism in Eukaryota, Metazoa, Chordata, Mammalia, Primates, Lorisidae. The transcript is spliced from 3 exons. The record is from RefSeq and is a predicted model, not a curated record.
GCUACAGAGGACACUAAAUUGUCAACUACACAAACAGCCACCGGGAAAGCAGGUCCUCCAGCUCUGGGCCCCUCUGGAGAUGGCUUCAGCCUUGGCCCCUGGGGUCUUGGCUGCAAACUGAGGAGACCUCUUGAGCCAGAAUCACUUGGCUAGGAUGUUUCCAGAUUCCCAACCCACUGAGAUGUCACCUCAAAGAAGCAGUUAUUCACCACAGCAGUUUAAACUUAAGGACAGCCGGAGGCCUGCAAAGACAUCCACGGAUGGAUGGAUCGCUCAGAGUGAUGGCUCAGAGCUCCUCUAUGGACAACAAAACAAAGCCAAACAGUCCCACAAAACCAGUAGUCACCAAAAGGAACCGUGAAUAAAACUUAGAACGGGUUAUGUGCUGAACUGAACUGUAGAUACAGCAAGGCUUCUAUACCUUUGAUAAGAAAAGGCCUGUGCCCCCAAUCAACACCUUCAGUCUCACCAUUCACUGACAUUGAACCGUAUGAGUUAUGCUGAAUUCGUAAGUGAAGGAUAAUGACGAGACAGAGGGUGCUGAAACCGUUUGUGGGGUGCGUGAAGGACAGGUGACCGUUGUUCAUCAACAUACUAGUCUUCACUCCUUUAUUUAUUCGUCUGUAUUUACUUAACCUCUAUGUAAUAUAUGCACAUAUUAGGACCUGUGUUUUCUGGAACAAGAUCUUGAACAUGAGAGAUCUGCUUUGUAGUGGCUAAUACAUCACUCAUUUUAUCUGCAGAAAAAUAAAGUCACAAAUAAAUGGAAAGGCAUUCCAUGCUCAUAGGUUGGAAGACAAUAUUGUUAACAUGCCAGGAAUACUAAAGCGUCUAUACAUUCAAUGUAAUCACUAUUAAAA